CAGAGUCAAUGUGGAGGCUAUAUACAGGGGUACAGGUACAGAGACAAUGUGGAGACUAUAUACAGGGGGUACAGGUACAGAGACAUUGUGGAGGCUAUAUACAGGGGGUACAGAGACAAUGUGGAGGCUAUAUACAGGGGGUACAGGUACAGAGACAAUGUGGAGGCUAUAUACAGGGGGUACAGGUACAGAGACAAUGUGGAGGCUAUAUACAGGGGGUACAGGUACAGAGACAAUGUGGAGGCUAUAUACAGGGGGUACAGGUACAGAGACAAUGUGGAGGCUAUAUACAGGGGGUACCGGUACAGAGUCAAUGUGGAGGCUAUAUACAGGGGUACAGGUACAGAGUCAAUGUGGAGGCUAUAUACAGGGGGUACAGGUACAGAGACAAUGUGGAGACUAUAUACAGGGGGUACAGGUACAGAGACAAUGUGGAGGCUAUAUACAGGGGUACAGGUACAGAGUCAAUGUGGAGGCUAUAUACAG
Molecule: long non-coding RNA, 486 nt
Organism: Oncorhynchus tshawytscha (Chinook salmon)
Lineage: Eukaryota; Metazoa; Chordata; Actinopteri; Salmoniformes; Salmonidae
Source: Ensembl